Molecule: ribosomal RNA, 468 nt
Filed under: uncultured bacterium
Lineage: Bacteria
Description: partial 16S ribosomal RNA
Rfam family: Bacterial small subunit ribosomal RNA
Source: RNAcentral
AUCGAACGCUGGCGGCGUGCUUAACACAUGCAAGUCGAACGGAAAGGCCCUGCUUGUGCGUGGUUCUCGAGUGGCGAACGGGUGAGUAACAUGUGAGUAACCUUCCCUGUGCUUGGUGAUAACUUCAGGAAACUGGUGCUAAUACCUGCUAGGAGCGCGUGCUACAUGGUGGUGUUUGGAAAGUUUCGGCUGUUGUGGAUGUACUCGCGGCUUAUUAGCUUGUUGGGGGGGUAGUGGCCUACCAAGGCUUUGACGGGUCGUCGGCCUGAGAGGGUGACCGGCCACAUUGGGCCUGAGGUACGGCCCAGACUCCUACGGGAGGCAGCAGUGGGGAAUCUUGCACAAUGGGCGGAAGCCUGAUGAAGAAACGCCGCGAGCGGGAUGAAGGCCAUCGGGUUGUAAACCGCUUUAGCCUGUGACGAAGCGUGAGUGACGGUAAUGGGUAAAGAAGCACCGGCUAACUACGUG